GGGGUUGUGGCUCAGUGGCCGAGCGCUUGCUCCUCACAUAUGAGGCACUGAGUUCAAUUCUCAGCACCACA
Molecule: transfer RNA, 71 nt
Filed under: Marmota monax (woodchuck)
Lineage: Eukaryota; Metazoa; Chordata; Mammalia; Rodentia; Sciuridae
Description: tRNA.Glu
Source: RNAcentral